This is a non-coding RNA of Dipodomys ordii (Ord's kangaroo rat), 70 nucleotides long. NCBI's taxonomy places the organism in Eukaryota, Metazoa, Chordata, Mammalia, Rodentia, Heteromyidae. The record is from Rfam.
GGGAAUGUGGCUCAGUGGUGGAGUGCUUGCCUGACAUGCAUGAAGUCCUGGGAUCGAUUUCUUAGCACCA